UGGAAUAAAAGACAAGCACAAUUUAGUGAGCACUCAAUCUUUAUGACGCAGCUGCCAUCAGCUUUUUCUUUACCAAACAAGCACUUGGAAAGAUUCAUUUACCAAUUAUUUUAAAAGUCUGACGAGACUCUCUUUAAAUCAGAUGACUAUAACAUCACCGAAAUAAAAUUGCAUUCUUUUCUCAAAUGGCAGUUGUUUAAGUUCAUUUGAAGGGCAUUUAGAGGAAAUCUAGGUUUUGUAGCUGCAGCAUGUUGACUCAGCAGUUGGGAGAACAUUUUCUGCUGUACCUGAAAAUGUUUUUUUAUGACAGGGUAUGGGAGAAAUGGGAGAAAGAAAAUAGCAGACCUCAGUUAAGCAAUGCCGAGAAAUCCUAAUCCACACUAAAUGAUACAUAUCCAAAACCAGCAUUUCAUUUCUGUUCCAAAUGUAAUUUAGCUCAAUGAGAAAUUUUAUUUUGAAAGUCAACCAAAGAGUCAUUUGACGCACCACUGUGGUGUGGAGAAACACAUGACUUGGUACUGUGACCCAAGUUGACCCAGUUCAACCACACCUCCCUGGCAACUCCGUGGGUGUAUUUGCUUUACAGCCUGCGAAGCGUUUCCAAACACAUAAAGUCAGAAGGUGGGCAGCACAUUCAAGACCAUUUAUGAGGUAUGAUGAGCUCCUCCCUUCCCUCAUUGCUACCCAUUUUCUGCCCAUCCCAAUGGUUUCUUUCUCCUCCUCCCUCAAUGUUUUGUCAACACGCUGACCUUUUUAUUUUUCGCACCACACCGUUCUUGCUGUCUGAUACUUUCCCAAAAUUUCUCUUGCCCUCCAUGACCCCAAACCCACUUUAAUAUAUUUAUCACAGUGCAUACAGUCUGUGGCUCUUAGAUAGCUCAUCAAUAAGCCUGCCUGUUAAUGGGAUUAUCGAUUCUGGAAGGGAGUUGAAAAGAUGCCGGAACUACUGGAUCAGGCUUUCAACUGACAAGUGUUAGGACACUUUACUUGACACAAGACUGGCAUCACCGAAUGCCAUGCUUCCAGUCUUGACUUUCAGACAACCAUUCCAGUUGGCGUAUCUGCUUGGGUCUGUGCAACACAAAAGAAAUCCAGGAAAACCUGAUUGUAUGGCGAUAGUAACAUUUGAAAAGGGAAUUUCCAUGCACUUGAAUGGAUUAUGCAAGUUAUGUACCUGCACUGUACAGUGCAUGUAUAUAUAGAACAUCUUCAAAGGAUGUAUAAAUCAUGCAAUAUUCAUGUUCCGGGCAAUUGGUGCAGCAUAGAAACUAGAGCAUACGUGCAUAUCAAGAUUAAUAUUUUCAUGGGGAAUUUAAUUGAAGAUCAUUUAAAUAUUUUAUCAGGAUGCUUUAAGAGGUUGGAUGCCUUUGAAUUCUAUAUGGGAUAUUCUGAAGAACAUCUUUACUAGAUAAAAAUUUUAUGAAUGUCUUCACAUUUGCUUUAUUCUAUGCUGUAUUUUAACGCAGUUUUUCCUUAUCUUUUACUCAGGUACAAACUAUAGUAUGUUCUCAUUUUUAUAAAAUUUUCUCUGGCCUUUUCCCACCCCGUUUCAGAUCACUUUUUAGUUUUGUGAGCUGAUCUUCAAUGUUUUUUCUAAGGAUGAAGGAUUUCACUCAAUACAUUUUUUCAUGAAUUAUUCAUCACAGAAACACUCAAACACAUAUGCAAUAGGUGGGGACCACAAACUGGUUCUCACAUUGCCUUCAGGUUUACAGUUACUCUCCAGGUGAUGAAGACAGCUUGGUUUACUAGCGACCUGAUAAUGUUUUACCUUUUUUUUAAAUUAGUUUCCAGUUAGUUAGUUAGUUAGUGAGUGAGUUAGUUAGUUUGUUAGUUAGUAGUUAUGUAACAAUUUAUAAAACUCCAAUAGAUAAUUCCGGAAAACAAGAAAUUAUUCAUAAAAAAAGAUUAUUUUUUUCAUUCCCACUUCAUUUUCACCAUUUGAUGAUGAUGCUGUUACAAUUUCCCUGGAAACGAUAACCAUGCAGUUGUGAACAAUAUGAACAAAAGACAUACAAGAAUCAACAGAGUGAAAAGGAACAAAGGAUGCAAGGUGAAGAAGAGGGGGGACGAAUGAAAGGAUGAGGAGGGAGUAGUUUGUAGUUCUUUGUUAGCGUAGCUCGGCUCGCUUUCAACCACUACUAGUAGAGAAGCUUUUGUGUGUGUGAGUGUGUGCGUUUGUGCCUCCAGACACUUCUUAAUAAGGCACAGUUGUAGUGUAGUAAGUGACCUUGUACAAAUGAACAAUCAUUCCGACAAGACCGACUUGCAUAUUGAUCGAAAUUCUCUUUGUGUCUUCCAUAUGUUGUCUCUUAAAUACAGAGUAAUAAUUGGAAUGUUAUUUGCUUUCUCGUGUGAGUGAACGCUAUCGUUCGCCUUUAAGGUCAACUGAACUACGUUUGCAACAAAGGAUUGUUAAUGAGGAGUCAGUAUAAAGUAUGGCCCACCUUUCUCCUUUCUACCCCAGGGUCCUAUUGCACCUUAUUGUUCACUGCAGGAAAGAUAGUCCCCUAAACCAACACAUUUUAGUUUGUCAGCAUGUUUCUGCAAAGAGUUACAUUUGGGCUCACUGGCGUAAUGACUUUGGAUUUAAUAAAAUGUUGGCCUAGCACUAAAUAAUA
Molecule: long non-coding RNA, 2621 nt
Organism: Syngnathus acus (greater pipefish)
Lineage: Eukaryota; Metazoa; Chordata; Actinopteri; Syngnathiformes; Syngnathidae
Exons: 2
Source: RefSeq, a predicted model, not a curated record